RNAcentral lists this ribosomal RNA (497 nucleotides) under uncultured bacterium. Its description in RNAcentral is "partial 16S ribosomal RNA". It matches the Rfam family "Bacterial small subunit ribosomal RNA", at positions 28 to 507 of the family's 1533-position model. The record is from RNAcentral.
GACGAACGCUGGCGGCGUGCCUAAUACAUGCAAGUUGAGCGAUGAAGCUUGGUGCUUGCUCCUAUUUGAAGAGCAGCGAACGGGUGAGUAACGCGUGGGUAAUCUGCCUUUGAGCGGGGGACAACAUUUGGAAACGAAUGCUAAUACCGCAUAACAACUUUAAACAUAAGUUUUAAGUUUGAAAGAUGCACUUGCAUCACUCAAAGAUGAUCCCGCGUUGUAUUAGCUAGUUGGUGAGGUAAAGGCUCACCAAGGCGAUGAUACAUAGCCGACCUGAGAGGGUGAUCGGCCAAAAUGGGACUGAGAAACGGCCCAAACUUCUACGGGAGGCAGCAGUAGGGAAUCUUCGGCAAUGGACGAAAGUCUGAACGAGCAACGCCGCGUGAGUGAAGAAGGUUUUCGGAUCGUAAAACUCUGUUGGUAGAGAAGAACGUUGGUGAGAGUGGAAAGCUCAUCAAGUGACGGUAACUACCCAGAAAGGGACGGCUAACUACGUG